GACGAACGCUGGCGGCGUGCUUAACACAUGCAAGUCGAACGGAAAGGCCCUGCUUUUGUGGGGUGCUCGAGUGGCGAACGGGUGAGUAACACGUGAGUAACCUGCCCUUUACUUUGGGAUAACUUCAGGAAACUGUGGCUAAUACCGGAUAGGAGCUCCUGCUGCAUGGUGGGGGUUGGAAAGUGUCGGCUGUUGGGGAUGGACUCGCGGCUUAUCAGCUUGUGGGUGUGGUAGUGGCUUACCAAGGCUUUGACGGCGAGCCGGCCUGAGAGGGUGACCGGCCACAUUGGGACUGAGGUACGGCCCAGACUACUACGGGAGGCAGCAGUGGGGAAUAUUGCACAAUGGGCGGAAGCAUGAUGCAGCAACGCCGCGUGCGGGAUGACGGCCUUCGGGUUGUAAACCGCUUUCGCCUGUGACGAAGCGUGAGUGACGGUAAUGGGUAAAGAAGCAACGGCUAACUACGUG
This 468-nucleotide ribosomal RNA is filed under the name uncultured bacterium. RNAcentral describes it as "partial 16S ribosomal RNA". It matches the Rfam family "Bacterial small subunit ribosomal RNA", at positions 28 to 507 of the family's 1533-position model. The record is from RNAcentral.